RNAcentral lists this long non-coding RNA (786 nucleotides) under Prunus persica (peach). Its description in RNAcentral is "long non-coding RNA (PPER_LNC008697)". The record is from RNAcentral. Lineage: Eukaryota; Viridiplantae; Streptophyta; Magnoliopsida; Rosales; Rosaceae.
CGAUUUCAAGGACCAAUCGAUAUCGGAUUGAGUCCAAAACUUGGGAAACAUCAUAAUAUUGUGGGAGGAGUCAUUUGGUAAGUUUUGAGUAAAAUACAAUCCCUAGAACUAUACAGUACACCAACCACUCCAUUUCAGAACGAACUUCGUACGAACCGGAAUUGUCCGAUUUCAAGGACCAAUCGAUACCGGAUUAAGUCCAAAACUUGGGGAACAUCAUAAUAUUGUGGGAGGAGUCAUUUGGUGGGUUUUGAGUGAAAUACAAUCCCUAGAACUAUACAAUACACCAACCACUCCAUUUCAGAUCGAACUUCGGACGAACCUGAAUUGUCCGAUUUCAAGCCCCAAUCGAUAUCGGAUUGAGUCCAAAACUUGGGGAACAUCAUAAUAUUGUGGGAGGAGUCAUUUGGUGGGUUUUGAGUGAAAUCCAAUCUCUAGAACUAUACAAUACACCAACCACCCCAUUUCAGAACGAACUUCGUACCAACCUGAAUUGUCCGAUUUCAAGCCCCAAUCGAUAUAGGAUUGAGUUCAAAACUUGGGGAACACCAUAAAAUUGCGGGAGGAGUCAUUUGCUGGGUUUUGAGUGAAAUCCAAUCUCCAGAACUAUACAAUACACCCAUCACCCCAUUUCAGAACGAACUUCGUACGAACCUGAAUUGUCCAAUUUCAAGGACCAAUCGAUACCGGAUUAAGUCCAAAACUUGGGGAACAUCAUAAUAUUGUGGGAGCAGUCAUUCUGAUGGGUUUUGAGUGAAAUCCUAUCUCAAGAACUAUAUAAUACAC